AUACGGAGGGUGCAAGCGUUGUUCGGAAUCACUGGGCGUAAAGGGCGCGCAGGCGGUUUGGUAAGUCAGAUGUGAAAGCCCACGGCUCAACCGUGGAAGUGCAUUUGAAACUGUCAGACUUGAGUACUAGAGGGGAAAGUGGAAUUCCCGGUGUAGAGGUGAAAUUCGUAGAUAUCGGGAGGAAUACCGGUGGCGAAGGCGACUUUCAGGCUAGAUACUGACGCUGAGGCGCGAAAGCGUGGGGAGCAAACAGGAUUAGAAACCCUUGUAGUCC
This 274-nucleotide ribosomal RNA is filed under the name uncultured bacterium. RNAcentral's name for it is "partial 16S ribosomal RNA". It matches the Rfam family "Bacterial small subunit ribosomal RNA", at positions 523 to 796 of the family's 1533-position model. The record is from RNAcentral.